This is a non-coding RNA of Aegilops tauschii subsp. strangulata, 1311 nucleotides long. Lineage: Eukaryota; Viridiplantae; Streptophyta; Magnoliopsida; Poales; Poaceae. The record is from RefSeq and is a predicted model, not a curated record.
GUCCUGGAUCAGGUCGCCGCCGCCCUCCAUCACUUCGCCGCCGCGCUGAACUCCUCGCCCUUGAUCCAGGAUCCGGCGCCGAUCCUGGACGAGGAUAAGCGGACACGUCCAGGAUCCGGCCAGAACACGUCCCGGAUCCGAAAAAUAGGUAUACAAACCAUCUCAUACGUCAAUCGCAUCUCAUACAUCUCAAAUGCCAUACAAUCGCAUCUCAUACAUCUCACAGCCCAUACAUCCAUCGCAUGUCAUACAGCCAUGGCAAGUGCUUUCACAGGGAUGGAUCCGCCUGCAAGAUUGAUUUCUGUUCUACACAGUUUAGGUUUUUUUCCAUGUUAAAACUAGACUCAAGUACACAUGUUUACAGAUGGCAAUUGGCAAAAAAAAAUUACCAAGGGGUAUCCUGCAUCCUGCACUUGUAUAAAUAUGGCAAAAAAGAAAACACAAACCAUACAGGACCCUAGAGUAUGUUUCCACUUGUGCUGAACUGAAGAUAGAACAAAAACACUUGCAUUCUAAGAAAGUACAGAGAUGUAGAAGAUGUAGAUGAAAGUGCCAUUGCAGUAUUUAUGUAGAAUAAAAUACAAUUGCAGUAUAUGCUAGCAACAGGUUGCAGUAUAUAUGUAGAACAAUAACCCUUCCAGAAUGUCAUCAAAUAACUACCAUUUCUGUCUUCAUGAUUUUUGCCAUUCAAUAGUUGCAUAUGGGGAAUUCAAAAAGCACGGUUGGCGAACAUCAACCUGAAGAUGACGUAACUACAGGUCUUACAAGCGGGAGAAGUGAUGCAGAACACAAUGCGAGCAUCAUACCCGUAGCUGAAAUUGUUGAUAACGUCUACUCGACGGAAUCAGUCCUUACGGGCGGGAUAAAUGUUGGAGACUACAAUGCAAACUUCAUACCCUUACAUGCAGGUAUAAGACUGUGUCAAGAUUGCUGCUAAUGUUUCGUGCAUACCGUAUAUUUUGUUGAUUGCUAAGAUGUAGGGCGGGAACCUCCAAACGACGGGAUUCCGUCGUAUUCUGAGAAUAAUAAGGAUGGUACGACUAAGCUACGAGAUGAUACUCAAGGUAUUCACAGGCAUGCUUAUACAGCUUCCAAAUCGACAUCUCCCAGAUGAGCUUAAUGGGCUUUGUGGUUUUUACGCUUAACGUAAUGCAGAUGACAAAACUUCCGAGCAGCAUGCAACAGUAGCUGUAUUUAAUGAAGAAAAAAAAAUGUUGGCGAAACAAGGGAGCAGUUCAACGCACUGAGGCGUGAAUCUUAUCGGAAGAAAAAAGAGGAGGAUAUGGUCAGGUUACAAGAGUAUAAUCAGCC